RNAcentral lists this ribosomal RNA (819 nucleotides) under uncultured soil bacterium. RNAcentral describes it as "bacterial SSU rRNA". It matches the Rfam family "Bacterial small subunit ribosomal RNA", at positions 39 to 853 of the family's 1533-position model. The record is from RNAcentral.
GGGGCGGCUGCUUAUAAUGCAAGUCGAGGGGCAGCACGAAUAGCAAUAUUUGGUGGCGACCGGCAAACGGGUGCGGAACACGUACGCAACCUUCCCAAAACUGGUGAAUAGCCCUCCGAAAGGAGGAUUAAUACACCGUACCAUAAUGGAGUGGCAUCACUUUAUUAUUAUAGGCAGCAAUGUCGGUUUUGGAUGGGCGUGCGCCUGAUUAGGUAGUUGGCGGGGUAACGGCCACCAAGCCUCCGAUCAGUAACUGGUGUGAGAGCACGACCAGUCACACGGGCACUGAGACACGGGCCCGACUCCUACGGGAGGCAGCAGUAAGGAAUAUUGGUCAAUGGACGCAAGUCUGAACCAGCCAUGCCGCGUGCAGGAUGAAGGCCCUCUGGGUUGUAAACUGCUUUUAUCUGGGACGAAAAAAGGGGAUUCUUCCUCACUUGACGGUACCAGAGGAAUAAGCACCGGCUAACUCCGUGCCAGCAGCCGCGGUAAUACGGAGGGUGCAAGCGUUAUCCGGAUUUACUGGGUUUAAAGGGUGCGUAGGUGGGUAGGUAAGUCAGUGGUGAAAUCUUCAAGCUUAACUUGGAAACUGCCAUUGAUACUAUUUAUCUUGAAUACUUUGGAGGUAAGCGGAAUAUGUCAUGUAGCGGUGAAAUGCUUAGAUAUGACAUAGAACACCAAUCGCGAAGGCAGCUUACUACACAGUUAUUGACACUGAGGCACGAAAGCGUGGGGAUCAAACAGGAUUAGAUACCCUGGUAGUCCACGCCCUAAACGAUGGAUACUCGACAUUAGCGAUACACAGUUAGUGUCUGAGCG